GACGAACGCUGGCGGCGUGCUUAACACAUGCAAGUCGAACGGAAAGGCCCUGCUUUUGUGGGGUGCUCGAGUGGCGAACGGGUGAGUAACACGUGAGUAACCUGCCCUUGACUUUGGGAUGACUUCAGGAAACUGGGGCUAAUACCGGAUAGGAGCUCCUGCUGCAUGGUGGGGGUUGGAAAGUUUCGGCGGUUGGGGAUGGACUCGCGGCUUAUCAGCUUGUUGGUGGGGUAGUGGCUUACCAAGGCUUUGACGGGUAGCCGGCCUGAGAGGGUGACCGGCCACAUUGGGACUGAGAUACGGCCCAGACUCCUACGGGAGGCAGCAGUGGGGAAUAUUGCACAAUGGGCGGAAGCCUGAUGCAGCAACGCCGCGUGCGGGAUGACGGCCUUCGGGUUGUAAACCGCUUUCGCCUGUGACGAAGCGUGAGUGACGGUAAUGGGUAAAGAAGCACCGGCUAGCUACGUG
RNAcentral lists this ribosomal RNA (468 nucleotides) under uncultured bacterium. RNAcentral's name for it is "partial 16S ribosomal RNA". It matches the Rfam family "Bacterial small subunit ribosomal RNA", at positions 28 to 507 of the family's 1533-position model. The record is from RNAcentral.